AUUGAACGCUGGCGGCAUGCCUUACACAUGCAAGUCGAACGGCAGCACGGGAGCAAUCCUGGUGGCGAGUGGCGAACGGGUGAGUAAUAUAUCGGAACGUGCCCAGUCGUGGGGGAUAACGUAGCGAAAGCUACGCUAAUACCGCAUACGAUCUAUGGAUGAAAGCGGGGGAUCGCAAGACCUCGCGCGAUUGGAGCGGCCGAUAUCAGAUUAGGUAGUUGGUGNGGUAAAGGCUCACCAAGCCGACGAUCUGUAGCUGGUCUGAGAGGACGGACCCAGCCACACCUGGGACUGAGACACGGCCCCAGACUCCUACGGGAGGCAGCAGUGGGGGAAUUUUUGGGACAAUGGGCGCAAGCCUGAUCCAGCAAUGCCGCGUGCAGGAUGAA
This 389-nucleotide ribosomal RNA is filed under the name uncultured bacterium. Its description in RNAcentral is "bacterial SSU rRNA". It matches the Rfam family "Bacterial small subunit ribosomal RNA", at positions 30 to 412 of the family's 1533-position model. The record is from RNAcentral.